GCGGAGGAAAAGAAACCAACAGGGAUUGCCCUAGUAACGGCGAGUGAAGCGGCAACAGCUCAAAUUUGAAAUCUGGCUCUCGGGCCCGAGUUGUAAUUUGUAGAGGGUGCUUUGGCGUUGGCUGUGGUCUAAGUUCCUUGGAACAGGACGUCGCAGAGGGUGAGAAUCCCGUAUGUGGCCGCCAGUCUUCGCCGUGUAAAGCCCCUUCGACGAGUCGAGUUGUUUGGGAAUGCAGCUCUAAAUGGGAGGUAAAUUUCUUCUAAAGCUAAAUAUUGGCCAGAGACCGAUAGCGCACAAGUAGAGUGAUCGAAAGAUGAAAAGCACUUUGGAAAGAGAGUCAAAAAGCACGUGAAAUUGUUGAAAGGGAAGCGCUUGCAGCCAGACUUGCUUGUUAAAACUUGCAGGCCAGCAUCAGUCCGGGCGGUUGGAUAAAGGCCUAUUAAACGUACCUCUCCUCGGGGAGGACUUAUAGGGUAGGUGACAUGCAACCAGCCUGGAUUGAGGUCCGCGCAUCUGCUAGGAUGCUGGCGUAAUGGCUGUAAGCGGCCCGUCUUGAAACACGGACCAAGGAGUCUAACAUCUAUGCGAGUGUUUGGGUGUCAAGCCCGAACGCGUAAUGAAAGUGAACGGAGGUGGGAACCUUUCGGGGUGCACCAUCGACCGAUCCUGAUGUCUUCGGAUGGAUUUGAGUAAGAGCAUAGCUGUUGGGACCCGAAAGAUGGUGAACUAUGCCUGAAUAGGGUGAAGCCAGAGGAAACUCUGGUGGAGGCUCGCAGCGGUUCUGACGUGCAAAUCGAUCGUCAAAUUUGGGCAUAGGGGCGAAAGACUAAUCGAACUAUCUAGUAGCUG
RNAcentral lists this small RNA (849 nucleotides) under Exosporium sp. 1 NV-2015. Its description in RNAcentral is "eukaryotic LSU rRNA". It matches the Rfam family "Eukaryotic large subunit ribosomal RNA", at positions 50 to 953 of the family's 3401-position model. The record is from RNAcentral. Lineage: Eukaryota; Fungi; Ascomycota; Dothideomycetes.